This 1242-nucleotide ribosomal RNA is filed under the name metagenome. Its description in RNAcentral is "bacterial LSU rRNA". It matches the Rfam family "Bacterial large subunit ribosomal RNA", at positions 1564 to 2816 of the family's 2925-position model. The record is from RNAcentral.
UGAAUACGAGACGCUAAGGCGUCGAAGUAGUGUAUGUCAUACUUCCAAGAAAAGCUUGCACUGUCAUAAAUAAGAAAUGCCUGUACCAUAACCGACACAGGUGGGUAGGUAGAGUAUACUAAGGGGCGCGAGAUAACUCUCUCUAAGGAACUCGGCAAAAUAACUCCGUAACUUCGGGAGAAGGAGUGCCUUAUUUAUAAGGUUGCAAUAACAAGAUCCAAGCAACUGUUUAUCAAAAACACAGGUCUCCGCUAAGUCGCAAGACGAUGUAUGGGGGCUGACGCCUGCCCAGUGCCAGAAGGUUAAAGAAGUUGGUUAGCACUUGCGAAGCUGAUAACUGAAGCCCUGGUGAACGGCGGCCGUAACGAUAACGGUCCUAAGGUAGCGAAAUUCCUUGUCGGGUAAGUUCCGACCCGCACGAAAGGCGUAAUGAUUUGGAUACUGUCUCGGAGAGGGGCUCGGUGAAAUAGACUUGUCUGUGAAGAUGCGGACUACCUGCACCAGGACAGAAAGACCCUAUGAAGCUUUACUGUAACUUGAAAUUGAAAUUGGACUUUAUUCGCGCAGUAUAGGUGGGAGGCGUUGAUUGUAAUCUUGCGGGAUUAUUGGAGCCAUCAGUGAGAUACCACUCUUGUAAUGUUAGAUUUCUAACUUUGUAUCAUUAUCUGGUCAAAGGACAGUUUCAGGCGGGCAGUUUGACUGGGGCGGUCGCCUCCUAAACGGUAACGGAGGCGUACAAAGGUUUCCUCUGAACGGUUAGAAAUCGUAUCUAGAGUGUAAAGGCAUAAGGAAGCUUGACUGUGAGACCUACAAGUCGAGCAGGGACGAAAGUCGGUCUUAGUGAUCUGACGGUACUGAGUGGAAAGGCCGUCACUCAACGGAUAAAAGUUACUCUAGGAUAACAGGCUGAUCUCCCCCAAGAGUUCACAUCGACGGGGAGGUUUGGCACCUCGAUGUCGGCUCAUCGCAUCCUGGGGCGGUAGUACGUCCCAAGGGUUGGGCUGUUCGCCCAUGAAAGCGGUACGCGAGCUGGGUUCAGAACGUCGUGAGACAGUUCGGUCCAUAUCCGGUGUAGGCGUUAGAAUAUUGAGAGGAGCCUUCUUUAGUACGAGAGGACCGAGAAGGACAUACCUCUGGUGUACCAGUUAUCGUGCCAACGGUAAACGCUGGGUAGCUAUGUAUGGAGUGGAUAACCGCUGAAAGCAUCUAAGUGGGAAGCCCACCUCAAGAUAAGUAUUCUCA